This 112-nucleotide ribosomal RNA is filed under the name uncultured bacterium. RNAcentral describes it as "partial 16S ribosomal RNA". The record is from RNAcentral.
CCCGAAGUCGGUGGGGUAACCUGAGACAAAACUUAACCUCUUAUUAAUAUGAUAGGAAGUUAAGUUUUGUCUUAGGAGCCAGCCGCCUAAGGUGGGACAGAUGAUUGGGGUG